GUCCCUGGGGCGGCGGGGCGGGGGCGCAGGCCGGGGCGGCGGCGGGCCUGAGGGGCGCGGGCGGCGCGGCCUGGUGGCGGCGGGCGGACAACGACUAACGGGCGCGGGGCGCCAUGUUGGGCCGCGCCGGGCUGCACCUGUGCCGGCUGGGACGCCUUUGUUCCCCGCCGGCGCUGGCGGUCUUUGUGCGCGGGCGGGCGAAGCCGGGCGGGGGCGGGGGCGGGGGUCCUUGCCCUCCCGGCGGGGACACGCGCGGCAGCCGUUGGGCCCCGGCCCGUGGCGCGCAGGUGGAGCCCCAGGGUGGGCGCCGCGCCGCCGAGCCGACCUGACCGCAGGCCGCGAGUGCGGACCCCGCGACGGUCGGGGGAUAGCCGGGAGCAGGAGCGGGGGUUUAAAAUCUCGGCCUUUAACACACGCUGGCGUCGAGUCCGGCGGGAGGAACUGGGAUGGGUGUUCCCUGGGACCCGCACAGCCGGAGCUCCCUGGGCUCCCGAGAUCAGGACGGGCUCUGACGUUCGGGUGGAGAUGGGAUCCGAGUCGAGGUUCUGGUACUGGUCACUUUCAGCUGCCAGCAGUCUUCAGUUUUGGGUUGAUGGUUGGUAGAGUGAGAACUACUGCUCACUUCAGAGUUUGUGUAAGCUUUUGUGAAGAACUCCACUCUACUCAGUGGGGAAAUCCAGCUUUGUGAUUUCAACGGCCUCAAGCAUGCCAGGCAGGUGCUCUGAACUACAUCCCCAGCCCUGAAGAUAGAAGUCAACUCAGUCUUUGGUAAGAUAGGUAAAGGAAAAAGAGAAAGUACAAAUGCCCCGUGUCAGACACAAAAAGGAAUUCUUUCUUGCAGCCAUUGAAAGGACAAGAGAAUAUUUGUUAUAACCAAUUUUAGAAGUUUAGAUGAAAAAGAUAAAUUAGUAAGGAGAACAUUACCAAAAGAAUUCCAAGACAGAAAGUCUGUAUAGGGUUAAAAAUGAGAAGUGGUAGCUGGGGAUUCAGUUCAAUGUUUCUGCUGCCUGCCUCAUA
This 1017-nucleotide long non-coding RNA is filed under the name Heterocephalus glaber (naked mole-rat). Its description in RNAcentral is "lncRNA (ENSHGLG00000044425.1)". The record is from RNAcentral. Lineage: Eukaryota; Metazoa; Chordata; Mammalia; Rodentia; Bathyergidae.